RNAcentral lists this long non-coding RNA (326 nucleotides) under Homo sapiens (human). Its description in RNAcentral is "HSALNT0298307". The record is from RNAcentral. Lineage: Eukaryota; Metazoa; Chordata; Mammalia; Primates; Hominidae.
UUUUAAGGUAUUUCUUGUUUUUUUUUUUCCCCACUUGCAGAAUGCUUUGAUGUCUUAAAUGGUACAUCCAAACUUAAGUGAAAUAGAGCUGUGAGGACAUUUUGGGGAGAAGUGACCUAGAUAAGCACUGACUGUUGCAUUCAUCUCUCUUCUUGCUGAUUGUGAUGAUUUCCUGUGCCAUAGCCAUUCAAAGUCUGCCAAAAAAGGAACACCAAAUUAAACAACUGUCUACACAAGAAAAAGUCUUCACAGGAACCAAAAAUCAGAUGAGUGAUCAUUGUACAUAGUUUUGACAUCAUAUCAAGGAAAGAGGCACUGAAGAGGGU